AGUCAUAUUACAUUGAAACACCAGUUCUUGUAUGAUCACUGAAGUUAAGCAACAUCGUGCCUGGUCAGUACCUAGAUGGGUAACCGCUUGCAAAUACCAGGUGCUGUAAG
Molecule: non-coding RNA, 110 nt
Organism: Acanthosepion pharaonis
Lineage: Eukaryota; Metazoa; Mollusca; Cephalopoda; Sepiida; Sepiidae
Source: the annotation of a GenBank genome assembly